This 596-nucleotide ribosomal RNA is filed under the name uncultured bacterium. RNAcentral describes it as "bacterial SSU rRNA". It matches the Rfam family "Bacterial small subunit ribosomal RNA", at positions 31 to 622 of the family's 1533-position model. The record is from RNAcentral.
GAACGCUGGCGGCAGGCCUAACACAUGCAAGUCGAUCGGUAGAGAGAAGCUUGCUUCUCUUGAGGGCGGCGGACGGGUGAGUAAUGCCUAGGAAUCUGCCUGGUAGUGGGGGAUAACGUUCGGAAACGGACGCUAAUACCGCAUACGUCCUACGGGAGAAAGCAGGGGACCUUCGGGCCUUGCGCUAUCAGAUGAGCCUAGGUCGGAUUAGCUAGUUGGUGAGGUAAUGGCUCACCAAGGCAACGAUCCGUAACUGGUCUGAGAGGAUGAUCAGUCACACUGGAACUGAGACACGGUCCAGACUCCCACGGGAGGCAGCAGUGGGGAAUAUUGGACAAUGGGCGAAAGCCUGAUCCAGCCAUGCCGCGUGUGUGAGGAAGGUCUUCGGAUUGUAAAGCACUUUAAGUUGGGAGGGAGGGCAGUUACCUAAUACGUGAUUGUUUUGACGUUACCGACAGAAUAAGCACCGGCUAACUCUGUGUCAGCAGCCGCGGUAAUACAGAGGGUGCAAGCGUUAAUCGGAAUUACUGGGCGUAAAGCGCGCGUAGGUGGUUAGUUAAGUUGGAUGUGAAAUCCCCGGGCUCAACCUGGGAACU